AGAGUUUGAUCAUGGCUCAGAUUGAACGCUGGCGGCAUGCCUUACACAUGCAAGUCGAGCGGCAGCGCGGGGCAACCCUGGCGGCGAGCGGGGACGGGUGAGUAAUACAUCGGAACGUGUCCUUUCGUGGGGGAUAACCAGUCGAAAGACUGGCUAAUACCGCAUGAGAUCUCACGAUGAAAGCGGGGGACCGCAAGCCUCGCGCGAUUGGAGCGGCCGAUGUCGGAUUAGCUAGUUGGCGGGGUAAAAGCCCACCAAGGCAACGAUCCGUAGCUGGUUUGAGAGAACGACCAGCCACACUGGGACUGAGACACGGCCCAGACUCCUACGGGAGGCAGCAGUGGGGAAUUUUGGACAAUGGGGGCAACCCUGAUCCAGCCAUGCCGCGUGUGUGAAGAAGGCCUUCGGGUUGUAAAGCACUUUCGGCCGGAACGAAAUCGCGCGGAUUAAUAACCCGCGUGGAUGACGGUACCGGAAGAAGAAGCACCGGCUAACUACGUGCCAGCAGCCGCGGUAAUACGUAGGGUGCGAGCGUUAAUCGGAAUUACUGGGCGUAAAGGGUGCGCAGGCGGUUCUGCAAGUCAGGCGUGAAAUCCCCGGGCUUAACCUGGGAAUGGCGCUUGAAACUACGGGACUGGAGUAUGGCAGAGGGAGGUGGAAUUCCACGUAGCGGUGAAAUGCGUAGAGAUGUGGAGGAACACCGAUGGCGAAGGCAGCCUCCUGGGCCAAUACUGACGCUCAUGCACGAAAGCGUGGGGAGCAAACAGGAUUAGAUACCCUAGUAGUCC
This 788-nucleotide ribosomal RNA is filed under the name uncultured bacterium. RNAcentral describes it as "bacterial SSU rRNA". It matches the Rfam family "Bacterial small subunit ribosomal RNA", at positions 8 to 796 of the family's 1533-position model. The record is from RNAcentral.